CCAGGAAAAUGCUACCUGCCCAAACGCAUAGAGCCAGCUGUAAAGUUUGGUGGAGGAGGAAUAAUGGUCUGGGGCUGUUUUUUAUGGUUUGUGCUAGGCCCUUUAGUUCCAGUGAAGGGAAAUCUUAACGCUACAGCAUAACAUUUCAUUUUAUACGAUUCUGUGUUUCCAAGUUUGUGGAAGGCCCUUUCCUGUUUCAGCAUGACAAUGCUCCCAUGCACAAAGCGAGAUCCAUACAGAAAUGGUUUGUCGAGAACGGUGUGGAAGAACUGGACUUUCCUGCACAGAGCCCUGACCUAAACCCCAUCGAACAACAUUGGGAUGAAUUGGAACGCUGUCUGCGAGCCAGCCCUAAUGGCUCAACAUCAGUGCCCUGACAUCACUAAUGCUCUUGUGGCUGAAUGGAAGCAACAAGUUCCCCGCAGCAAUGUUCCAACAUCUAGUGGAAAGCCUUCCAUAUGAGUGGAGGCUGUUAUAUCAGCAAAGGGGGGACCAACUCCAUAUUAAUGCCCAUGAUUUGAGAAUGAGAUGUUUGAAAAGCAGGUGUCCACAUACUUUUGGUCAGGUAGUACAUGUUUCACAAAGAUAACAAUUUAUUUAAUGAGGCUUUUUUAGUGUGUGACACACACAUACACACACACACAUAUAUAUUAAUGAUAUAUACACACAGUUGUAUUAUGCAUACAGAGGAUUGAGAAGAUGGUGAUAGCUAUCCUAGCCACAAUACAAGAUGAAACAGCAUUGAUAACCUUUAUAGCGUAGUGUGGCUGUCCCUGGCAAAAAUAUCAAAUCAAAUCAAAAUGGUGUUUGUCACAUUCGCCAAAUACAACAAGUGUAGACUUUACAGUGAAAUAUAUACUUGCAAGCCCUUAACCCUUAACCAACAAUGCGGUUUAAUGAAAAAAAAAACAAGUGUUAAGAAAGUAUUUUCAAAAUAAACUGAAGUAAACAACAAAUAAAUGUUUAAAAAAUUAAAAAAUUUAAAAAAAGAAAAAUAACAAAUAAUUAAAGAGCAACAGUAAAAUAAAAAGGCUAUAUACAGGGGUACUGGUACAGCUGUAGGACUUUUCGAGGAUCUGACCCAUGCCAAAGGUUUUCAGUCUCCUGAGGGGGAAUAGGCAUUGUCGUGCCCUCUUCACGACUGUCUUGGUGUGAUUGGACCAUGAUAGUUUGUUGGUGAUGUGGACACCAAGGAACUUGAAGCUCUCAACCUGCUCCACUUCAGCCUCAUCGAUGACAAUGGGGGCGUGCUCAGUCCUCCUUUUUCUGUAGUCCACGAUCAUCUUCUUUGUCUUGAUCAGCGUAGCGGAUGUGUUGUUACCAACCCUUACCACCUGGGGGCGGCCCGUCAUGAAGUCCAGGAUCCAGUUGAAGAGGGAGUUGUUGAGUUCCAGGGUCCUUAGCUUAGUGAUGAGCUAUGAGGGCACUAUGGUGUUGAACGCUGAGCUGUAGUCAGUGAAUAGCAUUCUCACGUAGGUUUUCCUUUUGUUCAGGUGGGAAAGGCCAGUGUGGAGUGCAAUAGAGAUUGCGUCAUCUGUGGAUCUGUUGGGGGGGUUUGGAAAUUGUAGUGGAUCUAGGGUUUCUGAGAUAAUGGUGUUGAUGUGAGCCAUGACCAGCCUUUCAAAGCAGUUCAUGACCAGGCAUUCUCAGCUUCUAAAGGGAACUUAAACAUAUAUUAACACUAGAGGUGUUUACACAUUAUCUCACUGUCCUUUCUCUUUCCAUCAGAGAGUGAGAGGGGGGGG
Oncorhynchus tshawytscha (Chinook salmon) is the source of this 1745-nucleotide long non-coding RNA. The record is from Ensembl. NCBI's taxonomy places the organism in Eukaryota, Metazoa, Chordata, Actinopteri, Salmoniformes, Salmonidae.